This 548-nucleotide ribosomal RNA is filed under the name uncultured Glomus. Its description in RNAcentral is "SSU rRNA". It matches the Rfam family "Eukaryotic small subunit ribosomal RNA", at positions 548 to 1098 of the family's 1831-position model. The record is from RNAcentral. Lineage: Eukaryota; Fungi; Glomeromycota; Glomeromycetes; Glomerales; Glomeraceae.
UUGGAGGGCAAGUCUGGUGCCAGCAGCCGCGGUAAUUCCAGCUCCAAUAGCGUAUAUUAAAGUUGUUGCAGUUAAAAAGCUCGUAGUUGAAUUUCGAGACCGGCUUACUGGUCGUGCUAUUGUACGUACUGGUAUAAUCGGUUUCUCCUUUCUGACGAACUAUAAUGCCAUUAAUUUGGUGUUAUAGGGAAUCAGGACUGUUACUUUGAAAAAAUUAGAGUGUUUAAAGCAGGCUCACGCUUGAAUACAUUAGCAUGGAAUAACGGAAUAGGACGUUUGAUUCUAUUUUGUUGGUUUCUAGGAUCGACGUAAUGAUUAAUAGGGAUAGUUGGGGGCAUUAGUAUUCAAUUGUCAGAGGUGGAAUUCUUGGAUUUAUUGAAGACUAACUACUGCGAAAGCAUUUGCCAAGGAUGUUUUCAUUAAUCAAGAACGAAAGUUAGGGGAUCGAAGACGAUCAGAUACCGUCGUAGUCUUAACCAUAAACUAUGCCGACUAGGGAUCGGAUGAUGUUAAUUUUUUAAUGACUCAUUCGGCGCCUUACGGGAAAC